CCUACGGGAGGCAGCAGCAGGGAAUAUUGUGCAAUGAACGAAAGUUUGACACAGCGACACCGCGUGUGGGAUGACGGAUCUAGGUUUGUAAACCACUUUCAGGAGGGAAGAAAAUGACGGUACCUCCACAAGAAGCCCCGGCCAACUACGUGCCAGCAGCCGCGGUAAUACGUAGGGGGCGAGCGUUGUCCGGAUUUAUUGGGCGUAAAGAGCUCGUAGGCGGUUCAACAAGUCGGUCGUGAAAGUUCAGGGCUCAACCCUGAAAUGUCGAUCGAUACUGUUGUGACUAGGAUACGGUAGAGGUGAGUGGAAUUCCGAGUGUAGCGGUGAAAUGCGUAGAUAUUCGGAGGAACACCAAUUGCGAAGGCAGCUCACUGGACCGCUAUCGACGCUGAGGAGCGAAAGCUAGGGGAGCAAACAGGAUUAGAUACCCUGGUAGUCCUAGCUGUAAACGAUGGAUACUAGACGUAGGAACUGGAUUGACGGUUUCUGUGUCGUAGCUAACGCGUUAAGUAUCCCGCCUGGGGAGUACGGUCGCAAGACUGAAACUCAAAGGAAUUGACGG
RNAcentral lists this ribosomal RNA (565 nucleotides) under uncultured bacterium. RNAcentral's name for it is "bacterial SSU rRNA". It matches the Rfam family "Bacterial small subunit ribosomal RNA", at positions 338 to 916 of the family's 1533-position model. The record is from RNAcentral.